Molecule: long non-coding RNA, 487 nt
Organism: Mangifera indica (mango)
Lineage: Eukaryota; Viridiplantae; Streptophyta; Magnoliopsida; Sapindales; Anacardiaceae
Exons: 3
Source: RefSeq, a predicted model, not a curated record
GUUACAGAUAUGUUUUGCUGCUAUUUGGUUCUCUAGGCUAUGAAAGGGUAUUGGUUGCUCUUCGAUACUGCUGGGAAACAAAUUGAUGCCGUACAUUUCAUUCAUGCCUUCCAGCUUACUGAAAGCUUUCCCCCUGUUCCCCUCUUGAAGACAUACUUCAAGAAUUGAAGGAGAAACUCUCAGGGAAAGGGUGUGAGUUCGGGUAGAGAUACUAGUGACAGAUUGAUGUAAAUGCACAGGAACCUGCUGCUUUGAAAGCUGUAGUUAGUUGUGUCCAAGAGUACAGGCUUGAACCUGACUAUCCUCUUGAUCCACUUCAGAGAAGGAUUGAACAAAUGGAGAGGUCGAAAUCUGAUAAGAAAAGGGGUGGAGAUUUUGGUAGAAGUCAAAACUUCAAGAAACAAAGAGCAAACUGAGGAUACCGUGGAUUUCUUUCUCACAGUGGCAAGGCAGCUCCUCGUAGGCUUGUUCUGCCUGUUUUCUGAUG